AACGAACGCUGGCGGCAUGCCUAACACAUGCAAGUCGAACGAGACCUUCGGGUCUAGUGGCGCACGGGUGCGUAACGCGUGGGAACCUGCCCUUAGGUUCGGAAUAACUCCCCGAAAGGGGUGCUAAUACCGGAUAAUGUCUUCGGACCAAAGAUUUAUCGCCUUUGGAUGGGCCCGCGUUGGAUUAGCUAGUUGGUAGGGUAAAAGCCUACCAAGGCGACGAUCCAUAGCUGGUCUGAGAGGAUGAUCAGCCACACUGGGACUGAGACACGGCCCAGACUCCUACGGGAGGGAGCAGGGGGGAAUAUUGGACAAUGGGCGAAAGCCUGAUCCAGCAAUGCCGCGGGAGUGAUGAAGGCCUUAGGGUUGUAAAGCUCUUUUACCCGGGAUGAUAAUGACAGUAACGGGAGAAUAAGCUCCGGCUAACUCCGUG
Molecule: ribosomal RNA, 433 nt
Filed under: uncultured bacterium
Lineage: Bacteria
Description: partial 16S ribosomal RNA
Rfam family: Bacterial small subunit ribosomal RNA
Source: RNAcentral